GAACGCGAAGAACCUUACCAGGCCUUGACAUCCUAGGAACCCUGAUGAAAGUCGGGGGUGCCCGCAAGGGAACCUAGAGACAGGUGCUGCAUGGCUGUCGUCAGCUCGUGUCGUGAGAUGUUGGGUUAAGUCCCGCAACGAGCGCAACCCUUGUCCUUAGUUGCUAACGGGUAAGCCGAGCUCUCUAGGGAGACUGCCCGCGAAAGCGGGAGGAAGGCGGGGAUGACGUCUAGUCCGCAUGGCCCUUACGGCCUGGGCGACGCACGUGCUACAAUGCCCGGCACAGAGCGCUGCCACAUCGCAAGAUGGAGCGAAUCGCCUAAAUCCGGGCUCAGUUCGGAUUGGGGUCUGCAACCCGACCCCAUGAAGCUGGAAUCGCUAGUAAUCGCGGAUCAGCCAUGCCGCGGUGAAUACGUUCCCGGGUCUUGUACACACC
Molecule: ribosomal RNA, 436 nt
Filed under: uncultured bacterium
Lineage: Bacteria
Description: bacterial SSU rRNA
Rfam family: Bacterial small subunit ribosomal RNA
Source: RNAcentral